GACGAACGCUGGCGGCGUGCUUAACACAUGCAAGUCGAACGGAAAGGCCCUGCUUUUGUGGGGUGCUCGAGUGGCGGACGGGUGAGUAACACGUGAGUAACCUGCCCUUGACUUUGAGAUAACUUCAGGAAACUGGGGCUAAUACCGGAUAGGAGCUCCUGCUGCAUGGUGGGGGUUGGAAAGUUUCGGCGGUUGGGGAUGGACUCGCGGCUUAUCAGCUUGUUGGUGGGGUAGUGGCUUACCAAGGCUUUGACGGGUAGCCGGCCUGAGAGGGUGACCGGCCACAUUGGGACUGAGAUACGGCCCAGACUCCUACGGGAGGCAGCAGUGGGGAAUAUUGCACAAUGGGCGGAAGCCUGAUGCAGCAACGCCGCGUGCGGGAUGACGGCCUUCGGGUUGUAAACCGCUUUCGCCUGUGACGAAGCGUGAGUGACGGUAAUGGGUAAAGAAGCACCGGCUAACUACGUG
This 468-nucleotide ribosomal RNA is filed under the name uncultured bacterium. RNAcentral describes it as "partial 16S ribosomal RNA". It matches the Rfam family "Bacterial small subunit ribosomal RNA", at positions 28 to 507 of the family's 1533-position model. The record is from RNAcentral.